AGGUGAACAGGCGGCCGCGUGCCUAUGGCAUGAGGAAAGUCCGAGCACCGCAGGGCAGGGUGCCGGUUAACGGCCGGUGGAGGCGACUCCAAGGAGAGUGCAACAGAGAGAUACCGCCGGAUUUCUCCGGUAAGGAUGGAAAGGCGAGGUAAGAGCUCACCCGCGACCUGGCGACUCGUCGUGAUGUAAACCCCACCUGGUGCAAGAUGCAAUGGGACAGAUCAGCGGCCCGCUGUGUCCCGCAAUCGCUCGAACCUGCGCGGUAACGCCAGGUCUGGAUAGAUGACCGCCCAAUACAGAACUCGGCUUAUGGUCACGCUC
This 321-nucleotide RNase P RNA is filed under the name bovine gut metagenome. RNAcentral describes it as "Bacterial RNase P class A". It matches the Rfam family "Bacterial RNase P class A". From Rfam's summary of the family: Ribonuclease P (RNase P) is a ubiquitous endoribonuclease, found in archaea, bacteria and eukarya as well as chloroplasts and mitochondria. Its best characterised activity is the generation of mature 5'-ends of tRNAs by cleaving the 5'-leader elements of precursor-tRNAs. Cellular RNase Ps are ribonucleoproteins. RNAcentral also lists the same sequence under 1 other name. The record is from RNAcentral.